This 426-nucleotide ribosomal RNA is filed under the name uncultured bacterium. RNAcentral's name for it is "bacterial SSU rRNA". It matches the Rfam family "Bacterial small subunit ribosomal RNA", at positions 356 to 773 of the family's 1533-position model. The record is from RNAcentral.
GAGGAAUAUUGCGCAAUGGGGGCAACCCUGACGCAGCAACGCCGCGUGAGUGAGGAAGGUUUUCGGACCGUAAAGCUCUGUCGAGCGGGAAGAAAUGUAUCAUGGCUGAUAUCCAUGGUAUUUGACGGUACCGCUAAAGGAAGCACCGGCUAACUCCGUGCCAGCAGCCGCGGUAAUACGGGGGGUGCAAGCGUUGUUCGGAAUUAUUGGGCGUAAAGAGCGUGUAGGCGGCUGAAUAAGUCAGAUGUGAAAUCCCCGGGCUUAACCCUGGAAGUGCAUUUGAAACUAUUCGGCUUGAGUAAGGGAGAGGAAAGUGGAAUUCCUGGUGUAGAGGUGAAAUUCGUAGAUAUCAGGAGGAACACCGGUGGCGAAGGCGACUUUCUGGCCCUAUACUGACGCUGAGACGCGAGAGCGUGGGUAGCAAAC